GGCACCUCAAAAAUCAUCGAUUUCCAACCUGCUGCCAUGGCCAGGGAUAUAUUUUGAUAUUUAAGGAUGUGUUAAAACCACUUUUGGGGCUGCCCUUGCUGUUGGUGCCUCUCCCCUUCAUCCCCACUCCUGCUCUCUCCUGAGCACAAACGUGCCUGUUAAAAUUCUCCCUGGCAAUGUGAAAACAGCAGAAAAACCAUCCUGGCGUGUUCUGGAGCAUCCACCGAGAUUUUCCAGGGAGAAAAGAACCCUGAAGGGGAAAAGCCAUGGGCAGGCUGGGGCUGGAGGCGGCGUGGGAAGGGUUAAGGAUUCCCGGGCUGGCUCUGCUGUGCUUUCCAGGCAAACAAAAUGGUGAGCGCGCCUUGGGCUACGUUUUCAGCGUGUUUUCUUGGGAGAUCAAAGCUUAAAUCCCAUUAACCCUUCACAUGUCAGCCUGGUCAGCCUUCAUUACCCUCCUGGCAAGUGGCUGAAUGAUGCUUUCUUGGCCAGCAGAGCCAUUUUGGAGCAAAUUAAGAUUUGUUGGGUGCUUGUUAAAGACCUUUUGGACAUCAGGUGGCUCGCAGAAAAUGUGACCUGGAUCCAAAUGGCCACUGAGAGCUGAGCCCCAAAGCUCCUCAGACAGCAAAAGAUGGAGAAAAAAGUCAAAUUUAACCUUCCACAGAUUGUCCUGACACAGGAAACAUCUCUGAGUUUAUCCUGCAACCAAAGCAUUUGUGAUGGGUAAAUUAUUUCAUUUCUCUCUGUGCUUUUUGCAGCACUGGAUCCUUACUCCAACAAGGUAAAAAACGUUAUCAUUUUUCCUUUAGUCACAUAAAAACCCUCUGAGACAGAAUUUCUUCUUCAGGCACCUUGAGAGCUCUCUGGAAGCCAGUACAAUUUUAUAUUUCCCUAUAAACGCCAAUUAGGUUGGACUCCAUAUGCUGAGAGAGACAUUUUGGCUUUCUGCUGCCUUGCCCAGCAGCCUGGCACUCGCUGAAAUAAAUCACAGCUCUUUUCGGAGCUGGACGUGGCCAGAGGUGGACACAGAGGAGCUGAACACGAUGAUCUCAGAAGAAAUGCUCUGAAUUAAGCAGGAGGUUGCUAAGCCACCAGACUGCUGCAGUCUCCAACCAAAGUUACAGCGCUGAGUCCUUGCACAAAAUGGGGUUUUCCAAGGGAAACAAAAGUCUGCAAGGACACAACCUGAGCUGGGUACGGCUGGAAAAACUCCUGAAGUCAUCCAGGAUUUCAUCUUGCACCUCUUACAGCAAAACCAAAGAGCCUCCCUUGCCCCAAAAUCUGGAGCCUGAGACUGAAGUCUGCCUGAUUCCCUGAUUAUUUUUAUUUAUAUGGACAUUAAAAUAAAAAUAAUGUUUCA
Long non-coding RNA from Zonotrichia leucophrys gambelii, 1357 nucleotides. RefSeq lists it as uncharacterized. The transcript is spliced from 4 exons. Lineage: Eukaryota; Metazoa; Chordata; Aves; Passeriformes; Passerellidae. The record is from RefSeq and is a predicted model, not a curated record.